GAGUUUGAUCCUGGCUCAGGGUGAACGCUGGCGGCGUGCUAACACAUGCAAGUCGAACGAUGAUAGAAGAGCUUGCUUUUCUUGAUUAGUGGCGCACGGGUGAGUAAUGCAUAGAUAAUGUGCCCCUUAGUUCGGGAUAGCCACUGGAAACGGUGAUUAAUACCGGAUACUCCUUCUUGUUAUAAGACAAGUCGGGAAAGUUUUUCGCUAAGGGAUCAGUCUAUGUUCCAUCAGCUUGUUGGUGAGGUAAUGGCUCACCAAGGCUAUGACGGAUAUCUGGUUUGAGAGGAUGAUCAGACACACUGGAACUGAGACACGGUCCAGACUCCUACGGGAGGCAGCAGUGAGGAAUAUUGCACAAUGGAGGAAACUCUGAUGCAGCAACGCCGCGUGGAGGAUGACGCAUUUCGGUGUGUAAACUCCUUUUAUUAGGGAAGAUAAUGACGGUACCUAAUGAAUAAGCACCGGCUAACUCCGUGCCAGCAGCCGCGGUAAUACGGAGGGUGCAAGCGUUACUCGGAAUCACUGGGCGUAAAGGGUGCGUAGGCUGGCUUUUAAGUCAGAUGUGAAAUCCAAUGGCUCAACCAUUGAACUGCAUUUGAAACUGAAAGCCUAGAGUUCAGAAGGGGCAGAUGGAAUUAGUGGUGUAGGGGUAAA
RNAcentral lists this ribosomal RNA (657 nucleotides) under uncultured bacterium. RNAcentral's name for it is "bacterial SSU rRNA". It matches the Rfam family "Bacterial small subunit ribosomal RNA", at positions 9 to 685 of the family's 1533-position model. The record is from RNAcentral.